AGUUGGUUGUGAUUGAUAAUGGAGAAGUGCCAGAGGAAAAGGCACAAAGCAUCUGGCAUUUGGUUGAGUGGUUU
Molecule: long non-coding RNA, 74 nt
Filed under: Oncorhynchus kisutch (coho salmon)
Lineage: Eukaryota; Metazoa; Chordata; Actinopteri; Salmoniformes; Salmonidae
Description: lncRNA (ENSOKIG00005034570.1)
Source: RNAcentral